AUACCUAAAACGUUGCUUCGGCGGGAACAGACGGCCCUGUAACAACGGGCCGCCCCCGCCAGAGGACCCCUAACUCUGUUUUUAUAAUGUUUUUCUGAGUAAACAAGCAAAUAAAUUAAAACUUUCAACAACGGAUCUCUUGGCUCUGGCAUCGAUGAAGAACGCAGCGAAAUGCGAUAAGUAAUGUGAAUUGCAGAAUUCAGUGAAUCAUCGAAUCUUUGAACGCACAUUGCGCCCGCCAGUAUUCUGGCGGGCAUGCCUGUUCGAGCGUCAUUACAACCCUCAGGCCCCCGGGCCUGGCGUUGGGGAUCGGCAGAAGCCCCCUGUGGGCACACGCCGUCCCUCAAAUACAGUGGCGGUCCCGCCGCAGCUUCCAUUGCGUAGUAGCUAACACCUCGCAACUGGAGAGCGGCGCGGCCAUGCCGUAAAACACCCAACUUCUGAAUGUUGACCUCGAAUCAGGUAGGAAUACCCGCUGAACUUAAGCAUAUC
RNAcentral lists this unclassified non-coding RNA (492 nucleotides) under Fusarium solani. RNAcentral's name for it is "sequence contains ITS1, 5.8S rRNA gene, ITS2". The stretch from base 120 to 273 matches the Rfam family "5.8S ribosomal RNA". The record is from RNAcentral. Lineage: Eukaryota; Fungi; Ascomycota; Sordariomycetes; Hypocreales; Nectriaceae.